This 465-nucleotide ribosomal RNA is filed under the name Vreelandella stevensii. Its description in RNAcentral is "partial 16S ribosomal RNA". It matches the Rfam family "Bacterial small subunit ribosomal RNA", at positions 338 to 795 of the family's 1533-position model. The record is from RNAcentral. Lineage: Bacteria; Pseudomonadati; Pseudomonadota; Gammaproteobacteria; Oceanospirillales; Halomonadaceae.
CCUACGGGUGGCUGCAGUGGGGAAUAUUGGACAAUGGGCGAAAGCCUGAUCCAGCCAUGCCGCGUGUGUGAAGAAGGCCUUCGGGUUGUAAAGCACUUUCAGUGGGGAAGAAAGCCUUGGGGCUAAUACCCUCGAGGAAGGACAUCACCCACAGAAGAAGCACCGGCUAACUCCGUGCCAGCAGCCGUGGUAAUACGGAGGGUGCGAGCGUUAAUCGGAAUUACUGGGCGUAAAGCGCGCGUAGGCGGUCUGAUAAGCCGGUUGUGAAAGCCCCGGGCUCAACCUGGGAACGGCAUCCGGAACUGUCAGGCUAGAGUGCAGGAGAGGAAGGUAGAAUUCCCGGUGUAGCGGUGAAAUGCGUAGAGAUCGGGAGGAAUACCAGUGGCGAAGGCGGCCUUCUGGACUGACACUGACGCUGAGGUGCGAAAGCGUGGGUAGCAAACAGGAUUAGAUACCCCUGUAGUC